AUUUUUUUUUUUUUGCACAGACCUUAUAGUGGUUUUUGUUGGUUCUUCUAAUUUCUAUCCUAAUUAAGACUGUAAAUAUAUUUGCUUCUUUGAUACUUCAUUUAGAUAUUCGGAAAUCUCCCAUCUUGGGUGUGUUUCAUAUGCAAUAAGUUGAAAUAAUCGGAUGAAGCACCUAUGCUUUCUAUUGCAUUCUUGUUUGAUCCUUUA
This 207-nucleotide unclassified non-coding RNA is filed under the name Hevea brasiliensis (rubber tree). The record is from RNAcentral. Lineage: Eukaryota; Viridiplantae; Streptophyta; Magnoliopsida; Malpighiales; Euphorbiaceae.